CUACGGGGGGCUGCAGUGAGGAAUUUUGCGCAAUGGGGGAAACCCUGACGCAGCAACGCCGCGUGAGCGAAGAAGGCCCUCGGGUCGUAAAGCUCUGUCAAGUGGGAAAAAAAUUUUUUGGUCAAUAGUCAAAAGACUUGAUGGUACCACUGGAGGAAGCACCGGCUAAGUCCGUGCCAGCAGCCGCGGUAAUACGGAGGGUGCGAGCGUUGUUCGGAUUUACUGGGCGUAAAGAGCGUGUAGGCGGUUUAGCAAGUCAGAUGUGAAAGCCCUGGGCUCAACCCGGGAAGUGCAUUUGAAACUGCUUCACUAGAGUAUGGGAGAGGAGAUUGGAAUUCCUGGUGUAGAGGUGAAAUUCGUAGAUAUCAGGAGGAACACCCGUGGCGAAGGCGAUUCUCUGGACCAAUACUGACGCUGAGACGCGAAAGCGUGGGGAGCAAACAGGAUUAGAUACCCCUGUAGUC
RNAcentral lists this ribosomal RNA (464 nucleotides) under uncultured bacterium. Its description in RNAcentral is "partial 16S ribosomal RNA". It matches the Rfam family "Bacterial small subunit ribosomal RNA", at positions 339 to 795 of the family's 1533-position model. The record is from RNAcentral.